GUUCGGCUCGAGCGUCAGCGAGAGAGCGUUGCCGCAGGCAACGACCCGAAGGGCGAAGCGCGCAGCGCUGAGUAAUCCUUCCCCCACCACCA
This 92-nucleotide small RNA is filed under the name Escherichia coli. RNAcentral's name for it is "partial RtT sRNA". It matches the Rfam family "RtT RNA", at positions 41 to 130 of the family's 130-position model. From Rfam's summary of the family: This family represents a bacterial cis-regulatory element known as RtT RNA. The exact function of RtT is unknown although it is thought that it may be involved in changing the cellular response in relation to amino acid starvation. Lineage: Bacteria; Pseudomonadati; Pseudomonadota; Gammaproteobacteria; Enterobacterales; Enterobacteriaceae. The record is from RNAcentral.